AACAAGGUUCGAUUGGUGCGAGGCGCGAGGCACACGUGCAGAGCAGGUGCGUGCAGGGAGCACAGGCGGACGCACAGGAGAGCGGCAGUGGAGCGACUGCUGGUAGGCCUACGGAGCCAUGCAAGAUGAGGUUCAUCCCUGCGAGCUACAAUAAGGCAGUAAGGCGAUGAGACGUGCUGGGAGGCGCGUGAAACUUUCAAAAGGAUUUAAAAUAUGCGAAAACUCACUAGUGAGAUUCAGUUGACGGCAAAAAGUUUUAGAUUAGCUCUGAAUUGGUCAGAACCACCCAAAACAGUUUGGAGGAUAUCAGACUAAUCUAAAACCUUUGGAAAAUCUGCUUGACAGCAGUUUUACUCCAGUCAAGAGGAUUCCACCUGCACUUUCUUCAGCAUAUUCAUAAUUCUCCUGAAAGAGUAAAAUUAUAGUUAGUCUCUGAAAGUUCUAGAAGCCUAUUUUUAGCCACAUGUUGGAGGCUCCCUCUUCACCACAUGUUUAGGAGGUGUAACGUAGGUAAAUAGGAGUACAUAAAGUUUGCUUUAUUCUUUAUAAAUUUUCAUAUUAUUAAUAAAGUGUUUUGGCUAUUGUUUGUAAACUUUUUAACAUGUUUUUAUUUAGUUUCUGCAACACACCUCUUUUAUCUUGGGUGACAUUCUUUCAGGGAAAGAUUGACUGGUAUACUCAUGGAUGAGUUUAAUAGCGUUGCACGGAUGCUUUGUGUAUAGGAAAAGCAUUAUGCUUAUGACACAAGAAAGUUAGACAAACCAACAGCCAAAAAAAAAUUUAAAUGUACUCUUGCUGAGAAGAGAUGAUAACAUUGGUAUUUAAGGAUCACCAUUUUUAACGUAAUGCCUUAUAUCGAUCCCAAGAGAUGCCUAUCAUAGAAAAACUCCCAACCAACACAAUUAAUAAAGAAAAUACAAAAGAAGAAAGUUUGUUUACACCUCCCAUCCGGAGAGGAAAAACCCGUUCUCUUACUAAAAAGGGAGGAUUUCGCUCAAGGAAAUACAGAAGAAGAAAGUUUGUUCACAC
Molecule: long non-coding RNA, 1029 nt
Filed under: Manihot esculenta (cassava)
Lineage: Eukaryota; Viridiplantae; Streptophyta; Magnoliopsida; Malpighiales; Euphorbiaceae
Description: long non-coding RNA (MESC_LNC005712)
Source: RNAcentral